UUGCUCUUCAACGAGGAAUGCCUAGUAAGCGCGAGUCAUCAGCUCGCGUUGACUACGUCCCUGCCCUUUGUACACACCGCCCGUCGCUCCUACCGAUUGAAUGGUCCGGUGAAGUGUUCGGAUCGCGGCGACGGGGGCGGUUCGCCGCCCCCGACGUCNCGAGAANUCCAUUGAACCUUAUCAUUUAGAGGAAGGAGAAGUCGUAACAAGGUUUCCGUAGGUGAACCUGCGGAAGGAUCAUUGUCGUGACCCUGACCAAAACAGACCGUGCACGCAUCAUCCAAUCCGUCGGCGAUGGCAUUGUCCGUCGCUCGGCCAAUAUGCCUCGACCACCUCCCCUCCUUGGAGUGGGUGGGGGCUCGGGGUAAAAGAACCCACGGCGCCGAAGGCGUCAAGGAACACUGUGCCUAACCCGGGGGCAUGGCUAGCUUGCUAGCCAUCCCUUGUGUUGCAAAGCUAUUUAAUCCACACGACUCUCGGCAACGGAUAUCUCGGCUCUCGCAUCGAUGAAGAACGUAGCGAAAUGCGAUACCUGGUGUGAAUUGCAGAAUCCCGCGAACCAUCGAGUCUUUGAACGCAAGUUGCGCCCGAGGCCACUCGGCCGAGGGCACGCCUGCCUGGGCGUCACGCCAAAACACGCUCCCAACCCCCUCAUCGGGAAUCAGGAUGCGGCAUCUGGUCCCUCGUCUCGCAAGGGGCGGUGGACCGAAGAUCGGGCUGCCGGCGUACCGCGCCGGACACAGCGCAUGGUGGGCGUCCUCGCUUUAUCAACGCAGUGCAUCCAACGCGCAGCCGGCAUGACGGCCUCAAAAUGACCCAGCAAACGAAGCGCACGUCGCUUCGACCGCGACCCCAGGUCAGGCGGGACUACCCGCUGAGUUUAAGCAUAUCAAUAAGCGGAGGA
RNAcentral lists this ribosomal RNA (904 nucleotides) under uncultured eukaryote. RNAcentral's name for it is "eukaryotic LSU rRNA". The stretch from base 1 to 243 matches the Rfam family "Eukaryotic small subunit ribosomal RNA", at positions 1593 to 1831 of the family's 1831-position model. The record is from RNAcentral.